GGUUACAGAUGUCGCUAUCAGGCUACCACCCCCUCCGCCUAUAAAGGAGAAACCCCAGAUACGUUAUUCCAUAAGCUCUCAUCUUUCAUCUAAAAACUCUGCUAAAUUCUCCGUUCGAGCACUCCAUUCUUGUUGAGGCAGAGAACUGACUUGAGCGUCGGAGGGUCUUGCCGGAGCAACCCCACCUCCGGUUUAGACUUCCUUUGCAGGUCCCG
RNAcentral lists this long non-coding RNA (215 nucleotides) under Elaeis guineensis (African oil palm). Its description in RNAcentral is "long non-coding RNA (EGUI_LNC079016)". The record is from RNAcentral. Lineage: Eukaryota; Viridiplantae; Streptophyta; Magnoliopsida; Arecales; Arecaceae.